Long non-coding RNA from Hypanus sabinus (Atlantic stingray), 6959 nucleotides. RefSeq lists it as uncharacterized. NCBI's taxonomy places the organism in Eukaryota, Metazoa, Chordata, Chondrichthyes, Myliobatiformes, Dasyatidae. The record is from RefSeq and is a predicted model, not a curated record. The transcript has 5 exons.
AUACAUUAGUGAAGUUUAAGAGACAGGUAUGUGGAGGAAUUUUAGCUGGGGGGUUAUAUGGGAGGCAGGGUUUGAUGGUUGGCACAACAUUGUGGGCCAAAGGACCUGUAACGUGUUGUACUUUUGAUGCACCAUCAAUAACUCACACUGAGACGUAAGGCGAGAUAUCGGCUUUUAUUGACUGGAAGAAGGAACCAGGAGUGAGUGUCCAUCAUACUAUGUCCUGGAGACUGAGGCCGAGCGUCAGGCCUCAGAUCGCCUUUAUACAGGGGCCUGUGGGAGGAGCCACAGGAGCAGUCAGCAGGGGGCGUGUCCAGACAGGCACAACUAUUCUAAAAAAAAUCUACUUUGCAGAAGUAAUAGUAGAGGUGUUUUGUUAAUGCUGAUAUGAGAAUUUAGGUGAGUAAAUAUGGGGAAUGCCUUUAAUUUGACAUGACACUAUAGGAUUUUCUGAAGACAUAAAUCACGGUGAUCUUAUAUCAAAGAUUUUGGAAUAUCAAUGUCCGAAAUAUUAUUCAAACUGCUUGGGUGAAAUUACACUGAAAUCCAGCGGACAUAACUUCAAGAUUAUGGUAGGCAAGCGAUGAGAUCUUGCGCCCAUGGAUAGUCACUGAUUAUGUAGAAUAAUGCUGAGAGAGAUUGACAAGGUAGAUAGUGAAAGUUUUGACUUCCACUGCCUCUUUUCUAAGUUUGAAAUCCAGACUUGAGAAACGGUCGUUACUAAGAUUUGUAAACAUGAGAACGUGGGACAGAAAAUGUGGCUCCCGGUUCCGCUCCUCCUGGCGACACGAUCAAGACUAACCUGACUCUAGUCUUACGUCCAUGCUCCGAUACGCACAGCAUUCAGCAUUAAUUCCAAGAAGUCUAAACUCUCCAGACUUGGAUGAAAAUACUGAAUAUCAGCCCGUAGACGCCCCCCCCCCCCCAUGCCAACUUGCACAACAUUCAGGAUCUUAUAUGAAACUAAUUAAUCCUAAGCAACGGCAAUUGAGUAGCAGAUUUCACGACACAUGCCUGGUGAUAAUAGACCUCAUUCUGAUUCUGAGAUGGGAAGGUGCUCAAACACUAGAGGCGCAGAUAGCAGGGUAGAACGACUUGGAAGCAGACUCGGGUAAAAGCUCCACCAGGAAAACCAGGAUCUUACAUGACUGCAGUGCGCGUGUGUGUCUGUAUCUGCGCAAGCAAAUUUGUUCGCUGGAAAUUUGGUCCAAUGAUCUCUGCCGCUUCUGAUGACGAGAUCAAACAAAUGCGCCCAGAGAGCCGGAAGUGCGUUUCUCGCAGGAGUUUUUCUCUCGGUAUGGGACUGCUGCCGUUCCCAGCGCUCGUUCUUUGUUUCUUCAUAACUGUUGGUGAGGGUCUCUCGGACGGUGAGUCUCUGGAUUUUACCAUCAUGGUGAAGCACAGUCAAAUAAAUGAAACCGUCGGGGGAAAUGCGUUGUUUUCAGUGCAGCCGUCGGACGAGAUCUCCAGUGGAAGCUGGAGUUUUAACAAAAAAACGGUCUGACAGUGGAUUGGUCAAGUCGUGUCUAUUGACAAUUCGUAUAAAUCGCGAGCUAAGCUAUUCACCUCUAGCGGGUCACUACUGUUGAAGUCGGUGAACAAGUUAGACAGUGGGUAAUACCUUGUGAACAUGGUGCCAACCAGCGGCUCACAAGCCUCAGCGACCGUCACUCUCCAAGUCACUGAAAACCACACUGGAGGCAAAAAUCCAGAGGGUUGACAAUAUACAUUGGAAACUGCAGCACCUUCUUCUGACUCUUCAAACAGUCUGGCAGGUGGAUCGAUAGCCGGAAGUGUGAUUGCGGUCACCGCUGGAAUGGUGCUGACGUGUGCAUUAAUUUUCUGAUGCAUCGGGGAAAGGCAAACAGAUAGCCACGAAACAAAAAAUUCUAUUUAAAGUCAUUCAAAAAGAAACAUCAGUCUCCCCUCCCUCCAGAAAAAUAGAAGGGCAACCUGAUCAUCAACCUCCGAAGCUCACCACUGCCCAAACAAAAUGGGUCAAGAAUAUCAAACCCACUCACCCAAAUAAAGUUUGCUUGGCACAAAUGCAGAGGAGCUAGCGUCACCAGUACAGAGGAGCACCCCAAAAGAGUUGCCUGAUCUGCAAGGACUUUUUGGACAACGGGGAGGAUUCGGCUAUUGGGCCCUUUCACUGUGAGACCACUGAACUCAACAACUACAUCCAAACCACUCUGGGUGAACUUUAAUGACCAAUAAAUUGGAUUACGCUCUACAAUCAGGUGUCUAAAUGAUUCACUGACUUUAAAGGGAAGGGGCAUCUAGUUUACCAGGAAACAAAGACUACAGGGACUACAGUCUUUCUGUUGACUAAUAUGUCUCUCCACUCACGGUGAAAUGGGGGCAAAACUUUUUUCCCUUAUUAAGGAAAGUGAGAACCUGUGGUGUGUAGAAUUGUCGGGUGAACGAGCAGCUUUUGGGGUACUGCCAGUAUGUGUCUUUAUUGACUCUUUGCUGCACGCUACGUAGAGGAUGCUGAUGCACUUUUUGCUGGUCACUGGUUUUGCUGGUGUGUCACUGCUUUGCUGUUGCUUGUGCGUCGGGGGGGUAUCUGGGGGGAUUUGCUGUUCUAACAUUUUAGCUGUCAUCCAUUCGUUGGGGCACCGCUGUUUACGUGUAUGUCGAGAAAGAAAAGGAAUUUCAGGAGAAAAAUUAUUUCAGGUCUUCUUUUGUAUACAUUUCCCUGACAUUUAGAUGCAGCUAUUGAAUUCAGUUUCUGGACCCUACUGGCAAGUCUCGUCGAUACAAACACCACGCUGCUCACUCCACCAACAACACAGCACAGCCGGGAACAUAGCAGGGGAUUUUACAUCAGAAAACAUUAGAUUCAGUGACGAAACCCAUGAUUAAUGUUGUUUUCGCAGGGAAAUCCUAAGAACCAUCCAUUAAGGUGAUUUACAUACAAGCGCUCUCCUACACGUGACAUCACACUGGCGCCCCCACAUGCCUGUCGUCACACAAGAGCUCCCUUCACCAGGAUCUGCCGUCACCAGCGCGGUGCCUUACAUGACACAAUGCUACUCAGCUCGAGCUAGGUCAUUUUCGUGACUCAGCAACGAUCUCGUGUCUCCUGCUCCCACGCCACCCCCACUGUCAACAGAGCAUUUACGGGCUGCAACACACACAAAAUGCUGGUGGAUCACAGCAGGCCAGGCAGCGUCUACAGGGAGAAGCACUGUCGACGUUUUGGGCCGAGCCCCUUCGUCAGGACUAACUGAAAGGAAAGAUAGUAAGAGAUUUGAAAAUAAGAGGGGUGGGGGAAUUGUGAAAUGAUAGGAAAAGACUCGGACGGGGUGGGGUGAAGCAGAGAGCCAGAAAGGUGAUUGGCAAAAAGGAUAGAGGCCCAGGGAGAAAGAAAGGGGGAGGGGGAACAGAGGGAGAUGGAGAACAAGCAGAGUGAUGGGCAGAGAGAGGGAAAAAAAAGAGGAGGGCGGAAAAAAAACUAAAUAUACCAGGGAUGGGGUAAGAAGGGGAGGAGAGGCACGAACGGAAGUUAGAGAAGUAAAUGUUCAUGCCAUCAGGUUGGAGGCUACCCAGCCGGUAUAUAAGGUGUUGCAGCCUCACGAUGGACACCGCGAAAAUAAGAUACGACCAUAAAGCAAUAAAAAACAUAACAAUAUCUCGCUUCAUCAAAUACUCUCAGCAGAAUCAGACUGUUAGUGAUAAUGUCUAGUAGUCACUGACAACACUGUCAGUGAACAUCGGAAAAAAUUGGUCAUGUCUUCAUUUGUCAAUGCCCGCUCUCCUGCAACAAAUAAAAACACUUAUGCACAACUUACAAGCUGCAAAAUCAAUACCUCAAAUGUGUAAUCACUACUUAUAUUUACAGCACUAUGCACAACGGGGGAUGACUGACGUGUCGAGGACAGAAUUUUCAUACAUUCUGUCGUUAUGGACUUAAACUUUCCGGCUAUACAGCUCAGAGCAGAGAGAUGUGCGGCCAAUGAGUGAUCAAAAUAGCAGUUAAAUCUAAAGGUAUUAAACCUCAGCAUUUGUUCUUAUUUUCGUACUGAAAUCAAGAGUAAGGAGAAAUAUUCACUCCAUUAUUUUUAUCACCACAUUGGGUACACUAUAUAUAUAUUUAAGUACCGGCACAUUUUUAUUUGCGUAUAUCUAAAUUGAAAAAAAAUGCAAGUCCUGUUACAGUCAUUUAUUUAGUCAGUCCGCAUGAAAAUAAAUUUAGACAUGGUGCAGUGCGUUCGCAGAUAAAGAAGCUCAAUGACGAAAAGCUUGUAUUCACUAGGUUCAGAUAAUGGAAACCACCGGGGAACAUGAAAAAAUGCCGAGCCUUCAUCACUUACACUGUUACACAACCGAUGUGAUAUUCUCUGAUGUCUCACUGCUGGAGUACAAUAAUAAAUAUAGUUGUUCAAAUAUGCCAUGCACAUGUAAACAUAUGUUUGACUUAUUUAACUAUUGAAGAAAAAUAUGCUGAACGAUGCGAUUAAAUGUGAUUUGGUUUUUUUUCUUGUUCCAAUUGGGCUGUGUAAUAACAGCAAGGGAGAAUUACUGCACAUCACUAAUCAGAUUAAUUACUGUCAAGAGGAGAUGCAGAAUUACGGAAUACGCUCAGUUAUAUAUUUGUAAAAUAAAAGAAUAAGACAGUUUAUUUUUCCAAACAGAUAUUGAAGUAAUUUGUAAAUAUUGCUAGAAAUAGAUAAAACAUUGCAAGGAACGGAAUAAAGAGGUCUUCACAGAAGGGCAAUAAUGUGAAACACAGCCGGGUGAAUGUGCACAACCAUUCCACUAAGCUCACUCACGGACAUCUGUCUGAGUUACUGGUGAGGCAAUACCUGGAUUUGGAUUGGACGAUAGCAGUUAUGAAGCUGCCACAUUGCCUGUAAUGCGGAAACAUCAGAACGAUUACAAGCCCAGUUUAUAGAGACCCACAAGGCAGAAUGGUCCGCGCUUUACAAACAUGCCACUGACCACUGCAUCUCUUGAACCAUCACUGAGCUGAAAUGAUAAUAUCGCUGCUGGACAAGCUGAUGGCAUAAUUCCUAAUACCACUGUCUGUCGUUAACCCUACUGAUAAUGUUGUUGCUUCUGCAGCCUCAGCUGAUCAAAGUAAUGAUGCCACAGCCUAGCCUGGUCAUUCACUGACAGCAUUCCUCAGACAGACAUAACUUUAAUGUCUCCUCUAUCUACAAAAUUCAGCUGGAGAUUUAUUUAUCCAAGUCCUUAUGUUUUCAGCUCAGUCAACUGAUAGGCCAAAGUCUGUUGAAAGGGAUCAACUAAUUGCAGGCCUGUAUUCUGAAGAUUACUCUUUUUAGUUGUUAUCGACGUGGACAGUUGACAUUACUGCCCUAAACGAUAGAGCAAAUGAACCAGGGAGAUAACUAGUCCAGAUGCUACUAUAGUGCAGCCGCAGCGCUAUCUGAAAUGCAGGAUCACUGCAUAUCCCACGCAUCGGCUUGACCUUAAAUGUGAAACUGACGUAUUGUGAUCCUAAUGUCAGUAGAUUCCAAUCUGUCAGAAUGAGGCUGAUCUCGAGUUUUGAAUUUAAGUCAUUAUAUUACAGAUUGGAAUAUGAAAAUGUUUGAUGAUGAACUUCAAUAAAAAAUAAAUUACAAAAAUUAGGGAAAUUAUGUUAAAUGAGCAUCAAUGGAUAUAAAGUUUCAUGAAAGUUCGGACGAUGGAGCAAGGUGAUUAAGCAACUCAAUAAUGUCAUCUCGACUGAGACAAAUUGUUCAAUUCAAUUACAGUUUCAUCGCAGGCAAUGUUUCGAAUACUUAAGAUGCUAUAUACCAGGAGCAACACACACACACACAAUCCUGGAGGAACGCAGCAGGCCAGGCAAAAUCUAUGGAAGUGAAUAAAGAGUCGACAUUUCAGGCCGAUGCACUGUAUUAGGACUGUAAAGGAAGGGCGUAGAUGACAGAAUAAAAAUGUGGGGGAAGGCGAAGGCAGUGGUAGGUGAAUCUAUGUAGAGGAGAUAUCUUUUCCUUUUCCAUCUUUUCCAUCCCUUUUCCUUUUCCAUCUGUCACUUCCCAGCUUCCGGACACAUAUUUUCAUUUGUAAGUCUAAGUGAUGUCUUCUCACAGACAGUUCUCUGACUUAUCAUUUCAAAUUUAAAUCUAUACUCUUGCGCAGAUCGGUGAAAACAAAAGCAGAAGUUGCAUAGACAUAUGCCAAGUGUAUGUUUUGGCGAGAGGUAACGGUGCCAGAUUAUGAAUGCAGAAAUAUUGUUACUGAAUCACUGACUGUUCAAUGGAGUGUAGAACUUUAUACUUCGCUGUUUCGUGUUUAUUUAAAAUAUUUUUGAUUAUACCCCAUUUCUUUCUAAACAGACAUUUAAAAAAUUAAAACAACUUUUUUCCUGAAUACAUUGCGAUGUAUGCGUUUGCUUCGUUGUUUCUACCCGGUUGUGCAGAAAAACAAGAAAAGCUUAUUGCACAGCUCCCAAUAUUCUUUGUUAAAGAAAAUUUAUUUGACAGGUACAAUGAAUUAUAUCUGUUCCUGGAGGUGGAAACCCACGUUUCCCUGAGCCAAUCGUAUUUAAUGGAGUUUGUAUUUGAUGAUAUUUAGCUUAAUAAACGCUUACGAUGUUUGUUGGACCAGCAAGAGAUCAUUACAUUCACGCCGACAGUGACAGUAAUUGUAUUCAACGCAGACACACCACCUGGAAUUUUUGCAGAGUUGGGUGAACAAUACUUUCUUGCAGAUCAGUUUACCGUCUGGCCCAAAUCCCACGGAAUCCCACUGAAGGACCAGACUUCUCGUAUUCUCAUUUACCUCAGAUAGUAAUCACUAUUAUUUUGCAGGUUCUAGUGUUUUGGAUGUCACCCCAAAAUUUGCCUGACCUUGGCUUGGCUGAACGAUAUUAGCACUCAGAACUCGUUGAGAAUUUAUUGAUAUCCAUGUCUCACCUUUUACAGAAUUCGCCCUCGUACUAUUCCCCCGUGACACAACUGGGAAAAGGUUCUUCAUAUUGUCACCUA